RNAcentral lists this ribosomal RNA (738 nucleotides) under uncultured Staphylococcus sp. RNAcentral describes it as "bacterial SSU rRNA". It matches the Rfam family "Bacterial small subunit ribosomal RNA", at positions 43 to 763 of the family's 1533-position model. The record is from RNAcentral. Lineage: Bacteria; Bacillati; Bacillota; Bacilli; Caryophanales; Staphylococcaceae.
CGUGCCUAAUACAUGCAAGUCGAGCGAACAGACGAGGAGCUUGCUCCUCUGACGUUAGCGGCGGACGGGUGAGUAACACGUGGAUAACCUACCUAUAAGACUGGGAUAACUUCGGGAAACCGGAGCUAAUACCGGAUAAUAUAUUGAACCGCAUGGUUCAAUAGUGAAAGACGGUUUUGCUGUCACUUAUAGAUGGAUCCGCGCCGCAUUAGCUAGUUGGUAAGGUAACGGCUUACCAAGGCAACGAUGCGUAGCCGACCUGAGAGGGUGAUCGGCCACACUGGAACUGAGACACGGUCCAGACUCCUACGGGAGGCAGCAGUAGGGAAUCUUCCGCAAUGGGCGAAAGCCUGACGGAGCAACGCCGCGUGAGUGAUGAAGGUCUUCGGAUCGUAAAACUCUGUUAUUAGGGAAGAACAAAUGUGUAAGUAACUAUGCACGUCUUGACGGUACCUAAUCAGAAAGCCACGGCUAACUACGUGCCAGCAGCCGCGGUAAUACGUAGGUGGCAAGCGCUAUCCGGAAUUAUUGGGCGUAAAGCGCGCGUAGGCGGUUUUUUAAGUCUGAUGUGAAAGCCCACGGCUCAACCGUGGAGGGUCAUUGGAAACUGGAAAACUUGAGUGCAGAAGAGGAAAGUGGAAUUCCAUGUGUAGCGGUGAAAUGCGCAGAGAUAUGGAGGAACACCAGUGGCGAAGGCGACUUUCUGGUCUGUAACUGACGCUGAUGUGCGAAAGCGUG